UACGUAGGGUGCAAGCGUUGUCCGGAAUUAUUGGGCGUAAAGAGCUCGUAGGUGGUCUGUCGCGUCGGCUGUGAAAACUCGGGGCUCAACCCCGAGCCUGCAGUCGAUACGGGCAGACUUGAGUGCGGUAGGGGAGACUGGAAUUCCUGGUGUAGCGGUGAAAUGCGUAGAUAUCUGGAGGAACACCGGUGGCGAAGGCGGCAUCCUGGACCAACACUGACGCUGAGGAGCGAAAGCCAGGGGAGCAAACGGG
RNAcentral lists this ribosomal RNA (253 nucleotides) under uncultured bacterium. RNAcentral describes it as "partial 16S ribosomal RNA". It matches the Rfam family "Bacterial small subunit ribosomal RNA", at positions 524 to 776 of the family's 1533-position model. The record is from RNAcentral.